GCCAGGUAUGGUGACGCAGGCCUGUAAUCCCAGCUACUUGGGAGGCUGAGGCAGGAGGAUCACUUGAGCCCAGGAGGUCGAGGCUGGAGUGAUGCAAUCUCAGCUCACCCAGCCUGGGCAACAGAGUGAGACCCUGCCUCAG
Molecule: unclassified non-coding RNA, 142 nt
Organism: Pongo abelii (Sumatran orangutan)
Lineage: Eukaryota; Metazoa; Chordata; Mammalia; Primates; Hominidae
Rfam family: Metazoan signal recognition particle RNA
About the family: The signal recognition particle (SRP) is a universally conserved ribonucleoprotein. It is involved in the co-translational targeting of proteins to membranes. The eukaryotic SRP consists of a 300-nucleotide 7S RNA and six proteins: SRPs 72, 68, 54, 19, 14, and 9.
Source: Ensembl